RNAcentral lists this ribosomal RNA (462 nucleotides) under uncultured Actinomycetes bacterium. Its description in RNAcentral is "bacterial SSU rRNA". It matches the Rfam family "Bacterial small subunit ribosomal RNA", at positions 9 to 487 of the family's 1533-position model. The record is from RNAcentral. Lineage: Bacteria; Bacillati; Actinomycetota; Actinomycetes.
GAGUUUGAUCCUGGCUCAGAAUCAACGCUGGCGGCGUGCCUAACACAUGCAAGUCGAGCGCCCCGCAAGGGGAGCGGCGCACGGGUGAGUAACACGUAAACAAUCUACCUGGAAAUGGGGAAUAACCCGCCUAACGGCGGACUAAUACCGCAUAACGAUGGGGGUGGCAUCGCCCCUUCUCAAAAGGCUUCGGCCGUUUCCAGAUGAGUUUGCGUCCCAUUAGUUUGUUGGCGGGGUAAUGGCCCACCAAGACUACGAUGGGUAUCCGGCCUGAGAGGGUGUACGGACACAUUGGGACUGAGAUACGGCCCAGACUCCUACGGGAGGCAGCAGUAGGGAAUUUUGCGCAAUGGGGGCAACCCUGACGCAGCAACGCCAUGUGAGGGAUGAAGCAUUUCGGUGUGUAAACCUCUGUCAGCAGGGACUAAACGGCCAUUCGGUCUUUGAAUGUACCUGCAAAGG